GAUGAACGCUGGCGGCGUGCCUAAUACAUGCAAGUCGAGCGAACGGACGAGAAGCUUGCUUCUCUGAUGUUAGCGGCGGACGGGUGAGUAACACGUGGAUAUCCUACCUAUAAGACUGGGAUAACUUCGGGAAACCGGAGCUAAUACCGGAUAAUAUUUUGAACCGCAUGGUUCAAAAGUGAAAGACGGUCUUGCUGUCACUUAUAGAUGGAUCCGCGCUGCAUUAGCUAGUUGGUAAGGUAACGGCUUACCAAGGCAACGAUGCAUAGCCGACCUGAGAGGGUGAUCGGCCACACUGGAACUGAGACACGGUCCAGACUCCUACGGGAGGCAGCAGUAGGGAAUCUUCCGCAAUGGGCGAAAGCCUGACGGAGCAACGCCGCGUGAGUGAUGAAGGUCUUCGGAUCGUAAAACUCUGUUAUUAGGGAAGAACAUAUGUGUAAGUAACUGUGCACAUCUUGACGGUACCUAAUCAGAAAGCCACGGCUAACUACGUGCCAGCAGCCGCGGUAAUACGUAGGUGGCAAGCGUUAUCCGGAAUUAUUGGGCGUAAAGCGCGCGUAGGCGGUUUUUUAAGUCUGAUGUGAAAGCCCACGGCUCAACCGUGGAGGGUCAUUGGAAACUGGAAAACUUGAGUGCAGAAGAGGAAAGUGGAAUUCCAUGUGUAGCGGUGAAAUGCGCAGAGAUAUGGAGGAACACCAGUGGCGAAGGCGACUUUCUGGUCUGUAACUGACGCUGAUGUGCGAAAGCGUGGGGAUCAAACAGGAUUAGAUACCCCGGUAGUCCACGCCGUAAACGAUGAGUGCUAAGUGUUAGGGGGUUUCCGCCCCUUAGUGCUGCAGCUAACGCAUUAAGCACUCCGCCUGGGGAGUACGACCGCAAGGUUGAAACUCAAAGGAAUUGACGGGGACCCGCACAAGCGGUGGAGCAUGUGGUUUAAUUCGAAGCAACGCGAAGAACCUUACCAAAUCUUGACAUCCUUUGACAACUCUAGAGAUAGAGCUUUCCCCUUCGGGGGACAAAGUGACAGGUGGUGCAUGGUUGUCGUCAGCUCGUGUCGUGAGAUGUUGGGUUAAGUCCCGCAACGAGCGCAACCCUUAAGCUUAGUUGCCAUCAUUAAGUUGGGCACUCUAAGUUGACUGCCGGUGACAAACCGGAGGAAGGUGGGGAUGACGUCAAAUCAUCAUGCCCCUUAUGAUUUGGGCUACACACGUGCUACAAUGGACAAUACAAAGGGCAGCGAAACCGCGAGGUCGAGCAAAUCCCAUAAAGUUGUUCUCAGUUCGGAUUGUAGUCUGCAACUCGACUACAUGAAGCUGGAAUCGCUAGUAAUCGUAGAUCAGCAUGCUACGGUGAAUACGUUCCCGGGUCU
RNAcentral lists this ribosomal RNA (1372 nucleotides) under uncultured bacterium. RNAcentral's name for it is "bacterial SSU rRNA". It matches the Rfam family "Bacterial small subunit ribosomal RNA", at positions 28 to 1381 of the family's 1533-position model. The record is from RNAcentral.